UUGCAGCCAAUUAAGCCAACCAUGCUCUUUUCUCCGUGGGGACCCGGUGUGCAACGGCUGCAAACAGCAGCCUCCUCCAUAGUGUAUGCAGCCUGUUGCCUGUAUGGGUUGCCCUAAGAGAGCCUGAAACAGCC
This 134-nucleotide small nucleolar RNA is filed under the name Tursiops truncatus (common bottlenose dolphin). RNAcentral describes it as "Small nucleolar RNA SNORA70 (ENSTTRG00000022055.1)". It matches the Rfam family "Small nucleolar RNA SNORA70". From Rfam's summary of the family: snoRNA U70 seems to be exclusive to mammals and is a member of the H/ACA class of snoRNA which contain H (ANANNA) and ACA box motifs. H/ACA box snoRNAs are involved in the conversion of uridines to pseudouridines (5-ribosyluracil) a constituent of structural RNAs (transfer, ribosomal, small nuclear, and small nucleolar). Lineage: Eukaryota; Metazoa; Chordata; Mammalia; Artiodactyla; Delphinidae. The record is from RNAcentral.